UACAGAGGGGGCAAGCGUUAUUCGGAAUUAUUGGGCGUAAAGGGCGCGUAGGCGGCCUGGCAAGUGGAAGGUGAAAUCCCUCGGCUUAACCGAGGAACUGCCCUCCAAACUGCUUGGCUUGAGUCCGGGAGAGGUGAGUGGAAUUCCCAGUGUAGCGGUGAAAUGCGUAGAUAUUGGGAGGAACACCAGUGGCGAAGGCGGCUCACUGGACCGGAACUGACGCUGAGGCGCGAAAGCGUGGGUAUCAAACAGG
This 253-nucleotide ribosomal RNA is filed under the name uncultured bacterium. Its description in RNAcentral is "partial 16S ribosomal RNA". It matches the Rfam family "Bacterial small subunit ribosomal RNA", at positions 524 to 776 of the family's 1533-position model. The record is from RNAcentral.